This 8563-nucleotide long non-coding RNA is filed under the name Sus scrofa (pig). Its description in RNAcentral is "lncRNA (ENSSSCG00000055600.1)". Lineage: Eukaryota; Metazoa; Chordata; Mammalia; Artiodactyla; Suidae. The record is from RNAcentral.
CUUAAAGGAAAAGGACAAAGAUUUUGGGCCUCAUUGCUAGAAUUUUCAUAUUCACAUAAGCUAUUUGUAAUUUUCAUAAGUUUUUUGAGGUAUAAUUGAUAUAUAUUAGUUUCAGGUAUAUAACAUGAUUUGCUAUUUGUGUAUAUUGCAGAAUGAUCAACACAAUGAGUCUAGUUAAUAUCCAUCCUCACACAUAAUUAAACAUUUUUUUGUAUUAAGGAUUUUAGCCAAUUAUUUUAAUUUUAAAAAUGUAUUAGUAUGUGCAAUAUGUUUUUUAUUCAUGUAUUCCCAGAUUGUGUGUAUGUGGACGUGCAAUUUUCAAAAAAAUAAAAUAAUGGUGAAACUAUCCUUUUAUAAGGUUGCAGCAAAAUUUUUUUGCAAUCUAAAAAGUGGGGUGUCCACUUCUUGUGUUUAUCAAAGGGGGCUGUGCAGUGCUCAGACUCUCUUUGUUUCCUUUUUUCUUUAUUACUCUGUGUUAUACAUGUCAGCUCCUAGGAUGAUUAAUCAUCUAGCCUAUUAGAGUAAGGAUGGGUUUGGAAGUGUGAGAUGGGAUGAGUGAUAAGAGGACAAACACAUGGAAAGGAAGAACAAUUUCCUGGCAUAAUAAAAUUAAAAAUAACCCACCCUCAAAGCCAGACAGGUGUCUCUGGGGUUCUAACUAAUGAGCUUUUCUAAUAGCACUUUAGACAUGAAACACCUAUAUUAAUAGUGAAAGAUUUAUAGUCACUGAAAAUAAAUGUUGGAUGGUGUUAAGAAUGCUGGGUGUGUGUUACAUAUAUGAGAAGUACGUAUGAUAGAAUGCUAUCUAAAUAUGUGUGUGUAUAUCAUAUAUAUUGUCAUAUAUACAUGACAGAAUGCUGUAUAUCAUAUAUAUGAUUAAUAUAUAAAAUACUCUUGUCCUGACCUGGUAUUAUACUUUAAUCACAACUGGAAGAAAAAUCUUGAGGAUCUUCCGUUAAUAAUACAAAAUUAUUGUGAAGAUGCCACCGAAUUUUAAAAUAAAUUUAUUCUAAUUUGCACUUGAACCAUAGUAAGUAAACAUGAACAAAUCAUUGCGUGGAGACGUAUAUAAUUAGGGAUGUCCCUUAAUUAGAUAAUUAAGGAUUCACAUCAUCCUCAGAUACCCUACUUGGAAAUGACCCUUAUGUAUCAUCUAAUGUUUGUGGGGAAGAAUCAUAAAAAUUUACUUCUGAAAAAGAUGAAAACGUGAGCUUGUAGUCUGGGAGAUGAAUAAAAAUGAAUCAACUCUGGUUUAAGCACUCAUAGAAAUGGGUCCGUGGGUGAUGAAAGUGAGUAAUGGGCUUAAAGAUGUCUAGGUUCAUUCAAAGUAAAUUAAAACAUAAAAACCCACUCACUCUAAGUUCAAACCCAAAAUAUCUAUUGGACCACUAGUUAAUGAUUUAGUCUUCUGUCUUCAGUUUUUCUUUAACGUCAUUGAGUUGUAAUUUACAUAAGUAAAAAUUCUCCCAUGUUAAUACACAGCUAGGUGAAUUUUGCUCAGCUUGUGUCUUUAGGUAACUACUACCAUAGUCAAAAUUUAGGACAUCUGUCUUCCUUCAAAAAAAUUCCCUCAACUUGCUUUCAUUGUAUCAGUGAGCACCCAGAUAUGUAGAGAGAUUAACUGGUUCUGGGAUUUGGCACAGGCUUGUUGUAAAGACUGGUUUAAGAUUAAUGUAAUUUAAUUUGCAAAGCUUUUAUUGAGGUCUGCUGUGCUCUAGUCACCAAGGAGAAAACAAGUGAGAUAGAGGUAAAGGAGAUGUCAGAACAGGGAAAUCAAAGGUCAGAGAAAAGGGGGCACCCCAACAUCCUGAAGAAAAGGAGAAAAACAGAGGAAGCUUCAACCAGGAAGUGAACCUUGAGUUUAAAUUUGACUCUGAAAUUUGUGAGUACUUUGGAGAGGUUUAUUUAUUUAUUCAUACAUUUAUUCAUUCUUUUAAGUAAUAUUUACUUGAGGUUUGGCAUGUGUCAAGCAAUGUGAUUGGAUCUGAGGAUUCAAGAAUGAACCAAAACAGGCACAGUAUUUUAUAAUUAGCAAUUAGUGAGGGAUAGGGAUUGGUGGAUUUAAGAAUUCCCAAAGCAUGUACUGAUAAAAAGUACCAAAAAAAUUAUAAUGUAGGAUAAGGAAGGGCAAUGGUUUGAUGGUGGAGGAAGACUUCAUUGAGGAAGAGCAUUUAACUUGUGAUCUAAAAGAUGAGUAAGGUUUAAUGGAAGAAAUGAGGGAAGAAAUAUUCCAAGUAAAGAGAAAAGAUAGUGAAGACCUGAAAUAGAAGAGGGUAUUUAGCUGAAAGAAAGUCAAUAUCAAGCAUGGUGAUCAAUAAGCAGGACACAAGAAAAACAGAAAGACUGGGCGCUCUGUUACUCAGGACCAUGUUUAGUGCUUCUCAACUUCAGCAUCAAUUCUGAUUCAGUAAGGCUGUAAUGGGAUUCUUAUUAGGAUAUGCAUUUCUAAUAAGACCUCAGACGAUGUAGAUUCUGCUCUCCCCUUACAGCACUUUUUGCAGUAGCCCUCUUCUAAGCCAUCUCAAGGAUUUGCAAAUGGAAGCUAUUAGAAAUUUCAAAAAUGAUCACAUUCGUGGUUUAAAAACAUCAACCUGGUUACAGUAUGAAAGUUUUCUCUUAAAGCAGAGAGAAAUCAAGUGCUUUUAAAAAAAAUAUAUCCCUUUUAUUGAACCCAAAUGAAGAAAUUCAGGAAAACUUAAAUAAAAGUGUUCUCUAUGCAAAUUUAAGGGUUGGGGAUCCUCAGAUCUUCCAUAACAUAAAAGAGAGUUUGCAUAUUUAUAAAAGCAAUUGUGACAAAUUGAAUUUUAUAAAAAUGACUAAGUAAAUAUUGGAUUAUUUCUAGGGAAUUUUUUUUUUUUUCAGAUCUGCACCUGCAGCAUAUGGAAGUUCCCAGCCUAGAGGUCAAAUCUGAGCUGCAGCUGCCGGCCUACACCACAACCACAGCUACUCGGGAUCCAAGCCACAUCUGCAACCUAUACCACAGCUCACAGCAACAGCAGAUCCUUAACCCAUUGAGUGAGGCCAGGGAUCAAACAUGAAUCCUCAUGAAUACUAAUUGGAUUCAUUUCCACUGAGCCAUGAUGGGAAUUCCCAUAGGGAAAAUUUUAGAAGAAGUAACCAUAUUACUUUAAAUAAGUGCAAAUAUGCAUAUUGGGCUAUUUAAUAUUAAGGUUUUCAAAUUUAACUGUAUGACAAAAUAUUAUUAGAGGAAAGAAAUGACAGUGAAUAUUGCCAAGAGUGCUCUCAUUUUCUGAUAUAAAGAAUUGUUAAUAUUCUUCAUAUAUAAAGAGGUUUGACAAAUAAAUAAGAAUACAAAGAUGAAAACCCUGGCAGGGAGGGCAAAGAAUUUGAAUGGAUAACAGAAAAAAAUUAAGGCAAAUAUCUAUUAAGUUCAUAAACAGCUAUUUUUAUAUAACUAAUAAUAAAAUAAAGAGAUAUUAGGCUAAUUAUCCUUUAUUCCAUUGCCUCAAACCUGUGAAGAUUAAAAUUUUUGAUAAUAAGUAGUUUUGUGGAUAGUGUGAGCUAUUCUUCUAAGCAAUUUAUGCCUUUUUUUUAGAUUGAAGUAUAGUUGAUUUAUAAUAUAUUAGUUUCAGGUGUACAGCAAACUAAUUUGGUGUGUGUGUAUAUAUAUAUUCUCUUAAAAAUUAAUUUCCAUUAAAGUUUAUUAUAAAAUGUUAAAUACAGUUCCCUGUCCUAUGCAGUAAAUCGUGAUGGUUUAUCUAUUUUUUAUAUAGUAGUAUACAUCUGUUAACCCUAUACCUCCAAAUUAUCUCUCUCCCCUUCCCCUUUGGUAACCAUACAUAUAUUUUUCUAUGUCUGUGAGUCUCUCUGUUUUGUAAAUAAGUUCAUUUGUACUUUUUAAAAAUAUUUCACAUAUAAGUGAUAAUAUAUUUACCUUUCUCUGACUUACUUCACUUAGUGGCAUAAUCUCUAGAUCUAUCCAUGUUGCUUACAGAUGGCAUUUCAUUCUUCUUUUAUGGUUGAGUAAUAUUUCAUUGUGCGUGUGUGUGUGUGAGUGUGUGUAUCACAUUUUCUCUAUCCGUUCAUCUUUUAUUGGACACUUAAGUUGCUUCUAUGUCUUGGUGAUCAUAAAUAGUGCCACAGUGAACACUGGGGUAUAUAUAUCUGUUGGAAUUAGAGCUUUUGUCUUUUCUGGAUAUAUGACCAGGAGUGGGAUUGCUGGAUCAUAAGACAACUCUAUUUUUUUAAUUUUUUGAGGAAUUUCCAUACUGAUGUUCUUUUUUUAAAUUAUGUAAUGAAUUUUAUUACAUUUAUAGGUGUAGAACAAUCAUCACAACCAAAUUUUACAGCAUUUCCAUCCCAAACCCUCAGUGCAUCCCCCCACCCUCCAGACUGUCUCAUUUGGAAACCAUAAUUUUUUCAAAGUCUGUGAGUCUCAUUUGGAAACCAUAAGUUUUUCAAAGUCUGUGGCCUUUGCUUAGAUUCCACAUGUAAGUUUUAGCAUUUGAUAUUGGUGUCUCAUUGUCUGACUGACUUCACUUAGCAUGAUAAUUUCUAGGUCUAUUCAUGUUGCUGCAAAUGCUAUUCUUUCUUUCCUUUUAGUAGCUGAGUAAUAUUCCAUUGUGCAUAUGUACCACAUCUUCUUGAUCCACUCCUCAUAUGUUGGGUAUUGUAUAUAGUGCUGCAAUGAACAUUGGAGUACCUGUGUCUUUUCGAGUCAUGGUUUUCUCUGGAUAGAUACCCAGGAGUUGGAUUGCUGGAUCAGAUGGUAGUUCUAUGUUUAGUUUUCUAAGGAACCUCCAUAAUGCUUUCAAAAGUGGUUGCACCAGUUCACAUUCCCACCAACAGUGUCAUAGGGUUCCUUUUUCUCCUCACCCUCUCUAGCAUUUACUGUUUGUAGACUUUUGGAUGAUGGCCAUUCUGGCUGGUGUAAGGUGGUACCUCAUAGUGGUUUUGAUUUGCAUUUCUCUAAUAAUGAGUGAUGUUGAAUAUCUUUUCAUGUGUUUUUUGGCCAUCCAUAUGUCUUCUUUGGAGAAUUGUCUCUUUAGAUCUUCUGCUCAUUUUUUGAUGGGGUCAUAUGGAUUUUCAUAGAGGCUGCACCCAUUCAUAUUCCCAAUAAGAGUAUAGGAGGGUUCCCUUUUCUCCACACCCUCUCCAGCAUUUAUUAUUUGCAGACUUUUUGAUGUAUAUACCUUUUGAGUAAUGAUAUAAUAUCUUUGUUGGACAAUGCCUACCAAAAUUGUAAAUGUGCACAUUGCUUGAUCUAGCAAUUCUACUUCUAGAAAAUUAUUUUACAGACUAAUUUACUAUAGUAUACAAAGAAUUAUCCUCAAGUUAGUUUAUUAUUACUUUAUUUAUAAUAAUAAAAAGUGAAGAUGUAGUUCAUCAAUAGGAAAUUAGUUAAAUAAAUGUGUCCUAUUUUUUCAAUACUAUGCAGCUUAAAAAAUAAAAACUAUAUGUACUGACAAUAAAUAAUAAUAAAUAAACUUACUGAGCACAUGUAAUAGUUUAUAAAUUUUAAAAUUAUCUUAGAAUAACUUUUAAUAUUAUAUAAGUUGAGACAGAGGUGGAGUUUGAGUAACUUACCCAAAAUCACAAGGUAGAACUUCAAUUUCAAACCAAGCUCUUAGUCUAAACUAACCAAAAUACUGUAAAGUUCUGUAAUAUAGUGUAUAUAUUUAUAAAUAUAUAUGUAUAUAUGUAUAUAAACAUACAUACUUGUGUAUAUAAUAUGUGCAUUCAUACACAUGCACAUAUAUAUGAGCUUAUUUUUUUAACACAUAAGGAUAUAUAUUUUUAUAUGUACAUAAAAACCCUGAAGAGAUAUACAGUAAAUAGUUACCUUUUAAUGUUUAUCCCAGGAAAGUAGGAUUGGGGUUAAAAGACACUCACUUAUUUUUUGCACCUUUAUAAUUUAUUACAACUGUGCAUUACUUUUAUGUUAAAAAUGCAAAACUAGACAAAAAGUGAAAGAAGUUUUUAUAUCUAAUGAAGUUACAUAUCAAAUGGAAUUUGAAAAACUCUUAUAGGAAGUAACAUUUAUUUUUCUUUAAAACAAACAAAAAAAAUCUGCAUCUUUGUAAGAGACUCAAGACAUGGUAGAUCUGUUUGGGUUGUCAUGGUGAUGUGUAUUGACUGCCAUUGCUGAAAUCCAUUUGCAAUCGUGAACUGUAAGGACAUUCACACUAAGGGAAUCAGUCACACUAUUCACAAGGACAGGGCCACACUCCCUUAUAUCAUGGCAACAGGGGAAUUUCUAUUACCUUCUGCCCAAUUAAAUUAUUAGGAGUUCCUGUCGUGGCGCAGUGGUUAACGAAUCCGACUAGGAACCAUGAGGUUGCGGGUUCGAUCCCUGCCCUUGUUCAGUGGGUUAACGAUCUGGCGUUGCCGUGAGUGUGGUGUAGGUUGCAGACACGGCUUGGAUCCCGAGUUGCUGUGGCUCUGGCGUAGGCUGGCAGCUACAGCUCUGAUUCAACCCCUAGCCUGGGAAACUCCAUAUGCCGCGGGAGCGGCCCAAGAAAUAGCAAAAAGACAAAAUAAAAUAAAAUAAAAUAUUACCUUCUGCCCAAUUAAAUUAUUAAAACUAAUUCCCUAACCGAUGAAUGAAACAAAAUUAAGAUUAUAUUUACUCAGAUGUUACCUGGAAAAUAAACUACUGCAAAACAAAUAAGAUGAUGAGACUUAGAAAAUACUGAGUUUUAACAAGUCUUUAGCUCUUUUUCUUUAAAGUCAUCUUUAUGAGAGCUUUAGAUGAAAAAAAAAACCCUAAUAUUUAUUGGAUAAUUAUGUCAUAGCUUUUAUCUGUAUUAUAUAAUUUGAUUCUUUACAACAAAGCUAAUCUCUAUACAACCUCCACUCCCACUUACCACCUCAUGGGAAUGUUCAUAGAUUAAAUAACUUCUCCAAGACUAUACUCUAAUAAAAGAUAGUCAUGGUGUUUAAGCAGAGAUAUUUGGCUGUCCACUAAAACCUUAUUAUAUAUGUUUCACUAUUAUUAUGUUCAUUCUCAUUUUCAUCUAAUUGAAUGUAAUUCACUUUAUUUAAAAUAUGACUUCAAGUUAAAAAAUACACUAAGGCAUUUACUCUUCAUAAUUUAAUGAGCUAUUUCAUGUGAAAGUUUCUAAUUAAUAGUACUCAAGGACCAAAUUUACUUUUUUUGGAUCAUUUUUGGCAGGUAGCAUAUUUUAGUGUUUGAUUUUUAAUAUUAGUAUUAAUAUUUCUCUUGUCAUAAUUUUCCAUUAAAAUCAUAUAAAAUAAUUACAUAUGUUCAUUGCUAAUGGGUUAUAUGAUUUUGCUGCAGUUGUAAAAUCUGAAAUCCUCUACAAUGGGUAAUAUUUAGUUCUACUUAGUAAAAUUUAGUCAUAUUUUAAUAUGACUUUUAAGAUGAAAAUGUAUAUAUAAAGCAUAUAUAACUACAUUUUAACUAUAAACAUAGAAUUCCGUUUUGAAAAAUGGAAUCUGUUAAUAAGUGUUUUACAGUAUGAUGUUAGUGUACAAGUUUAAAUUCGAGAGCCUAUUAUUUAUUUAAAAGAUUUUCUAUUAAAGUUAAUUUUAAAAUUGGAUCUUUAAUUUUAAUAUUUGAAUAGAUAGUUUAAUUGAUUAAUCAAUACAGGUAAUUUUAAUGUUUUUGAAGCAUCUGAUAAGUUAAUCAUUUUAAUACUUUCUAGAUUAAAAUAUGUACAAAUCCUGCAUAGUGAAGAGUUUUAUUUGACCAAACAUGCUAUUUGAGUUCAGCUUAGCCUUUCAGUGUUAGUGGUGACUACAUCUGUCUGUACAAACAGUAUCUCUGAGGAGUGAAGUUCUUUGUUCUGGUGGAGAGUAGGCCUGCUUACUGGCAGAGCCAGUACCUUCCUGCCCUAUUCUUGACCUCGACUUUGACCUGGCUGGACCACCCUCACAGGAAUGGAGGGUAAUAAAGUCCUCUGGCUGACUCAAGCCUGAGUUUAAGCUAAGCAGAUAUAAUCAAUCACCUAAAAUUAAGUGUUGUGGUUUUGUGAUGUGGACAUUUACUGGGGACAGAGCUGAGAUCACCAAACACCAUUCAUUUAAGUUUUCAGGGCUGUCUCGGAGUAGGAUCAAGGGUAUUUUAACUAGUACUUCAGGAACUAUUUACCAGAUUCAAAGUACAGAGAUAUGAUCUUAAAGGCAAAGAAAAAGAAAAAGAAAAAGAAAAAGAAAGCAAAGGAAAGGAAAGGAAAGGAAAAAGAAUGAAUUUAACUGAUUUAUUGCAAACCAGGAGUUAAAAAGAGCUAAAAUUCCUUCAAGAAAUAUUACUUUUCUUAAUUUAUCUCAAACUUUGAUUGGGAUAAACUCAUUAACAGCUCACAUUUCUCAAUUGAUAAGCUGUAUGUCUGUGCUAGCCAAGAUAUUUUGCUUCUUGAAAUCAAUUUUGGAAUAUUAGACGAAUGAUCGUACUGUGUUUAGAUAUACUUUUUAUGGUGUUAUUCCAAGAGUCUUGCUCCUUCUCCCCCACUCAUCUUUCCCAAAGUUUUUCAGUGCUUCUAAAGAUUCUCUUGGACUGUUUUAAAUGACCCUGUCUCCUAAAUUCCAAUCCCACUCUGACCUUUUCCUCUUUAACCCUGAAAUUCACAUAAUCUUUAGC